Alligator mississippiensis (American alligator) is the source of this 5754-nucleotide long non-coding RNA. RefSeq lists it as uncharacterized. The transcript is spliced from 3 exons. Lineage: Eukaryota; Metazoa; Chordata; Crocodylia; Alligatoridae. The record is from RefSeq and is a predicted model, not a curated record.
GGUACACGUUACAUACAUCGCUCACUCCGUCACACGGUACAUUUAGGCCACACGUGCCAAGUCAUUGCCACACAAUGAACCAGCGCCGCGAGGAUUUUGAAGGCCCCUGGUAGACAUUACAUACAUCGCAUAAUUCAUUGGUCAGUCGUGCAAUACAUUUAGAGCAGCUGCGCGUGUCAAGUCAUCGAACCGGACAGGUGAGGAUUUCUGAGGGCCCUGCGCCACGUCACAUACAUCGCGCUGUUCGCUGGUCCGUCACACGGCUCGUUUAGGGGGCCACAUCGUCGCCACGCGAUAAGCCGGCCAGGCGAGGAUUUCUGAGGGCCGGUCGCUGGUCCGAGACAGGCCGCACGUGAGGCGCUCGAUCAAGCUUUAUGAAGCAGCGAUUAACCACUUCUUCAGCGAAUCUUCAACUGCAGGCUGUGGUGCAUGGGCAGAACAGGGAAUUUCCCUCAGUGUUACACCAGUAGCCUCCGCAGUUAUAUUAAGUCCAGCCUCUUCAACCAUCACAACCAAAUGACUAUGAUCUUGGUCCAUCUCUUCUUCUUUUUGACAUGCAUCCACAAACUUUCAGAUGUCCCAAAAAGUACAUCAAGGUCCAGAGCCUUCUCCACAACCAGAUGACUGUGACUGUCCCUUGUAGCGGAUCAGAGACAGAUCCAUUUGUCAUCCAAACAGAGGUCAAACAAGGAAGUGUCAUCGCCCCAACUCUGUUCUCCAUUUUUUUGACAAUCACCCUGUUCUCAUUAAGGACUGGCUCCCUUCUGGAACUGACACUGAAUACUGAAUGGAUGGAGGGCUCUUCAGUCUGGGACCCUUUUGCUCAAAGACCAAAGUAUUCAAACCAACCAUCCUUUUCAAUAUGUGCCCUCUUUGCACACACUGAGGAAAACCUCCAGACUGUGCUGGAUCUCUCUGCAGAAGGCUACCAAACUUGGGCCUCUCUCUUAACAUCAAGAAGACUAAAGUGCUCUGUCAGCCUUCUCCAGGCCAUGAAUGUGACCCCCCCACUCCCCAAAUUACCAUUGAGCGAAGCACCCUGGAGGUGGUCAAGCACUUCCCCUACUUUGGCAGCCACCUCUCUCAAUGAGGAGAUCCAGCACAGAAUCCAGUGCACAAGUGUCUCCUUCAGGAAAUUGUUUCAGCAUGUCUUUAUUGAUUGCAAUCCCCAGAAAGACACCAAGAUCCAGGUCUGCAAUGAAGUUAUCAUCCCCACACUCCUCUAUGGAUGUGAAACAUGGGUGACCUACUGUUGUCAUCUCAAGAGCCUGGAGUGGUGUCACCAAUGAUGCCUCUGGAAAAUCUUCCAUAUCAAAUAGGAAGAUCACCGCACAAACACCAGCUUCCUUGCUGAAGCCAGUUUUACCGGCAUUGAGUUGAUGAUCCUCAAGCACCAAUUUUGCUGGACUGGACAUUGUGUGCAGAUGCCUGACUUGACUCCCAAAACAAGUGCUCUGCUCCCAGCUUAACUGAGGCCUGAGAUCUCGUGGUGGCUGGAAGAAAAACUACAAGGACACAUUGAAGGCCUCCGUCAAGAAAAGAGAUGCUGACAUCAAGAGCUGGGAGGAGCUGGCUGCCAACAGACUCCCAUGGCGCCACAUCCUCACCCAAUUAUCGCGUGAUAAUUAUUUUGCAUGUGUGGCUGGUCUAUUGUGCGUUGAACCGCGUGUCUGCAGUCCAUGGGCAGCAGGUUUCAGUGAUGCCGUGAAGGCCUUGCCUCUCUCCGAGGUCCUGAAUCCGACUUCCUGCCCCCGUCGCUCUUCUGGGCCUCCUGAUAACAAAGCUUUUCAUGCGUGAACGUUACACGGAGAUGGAGGGUUGUUCCAGGCUCAGCAUUGUUGUCGUCAUUCGGCAUCCCAGGUUACCUGCUGAAUUGCACUGAUUUCUGUGGAUGGAUAGUUCCUAGGGGCCGUUUGAUAGCCUCGUGCUGCACAGUAAGGGAGGCUUGCGGUGUGUGCACAUUUGCUGCAGAGGUCACAACUCUUCAGAGCUCUAACAACAUUAUCCAUUUUGGGCCUGAUCCACUGGUAACACUUCUAGGGACUUAAGAGAGUUUUCCAGGCCCUCACUGUCUUUUACGUAGCUCCAGAAAGAUAUCCAUAUAAAACUCCUGACCAUCAAGGCAAUAUUCCCCUCCCACCUGCCCCCACUAUUUUUUAUGCAACUACAAAGCAUCCUGAGAUGGUAGCAUCACCAGGUCAUUUCAGUGAUCAAUCAUAGUUCAGGGGAAUUGCUGCUUGCACUGAAAUGAUUGCUUUUUUAAAUGCAAUAUCUCAAUUAAACUGUUUCAUAUUUAUAGCAAAGUAAUAGCUAGUCAUUUCCAGGACCAGAUUUUGCUAGGAUCUGUACAGACCUAUGAGACGAGCUCCAAACUGCUUGCUAUCUACUUGAUAUUCUCCUUCAGCAAAUACUGUGGGAAAUGUUUGGUGUUAUAUGAUAUUCCAUACAGCAGAUGCAAAUGGAUUCUAUUUUAAUAAUCUUCAAUACUGUAGUCUUAAUGCCAUGUAGAAAGUGAUUGGACAAACAGCCUGUACAUUGGAAGAAUGAAUACAGCUGGAUUAGAUUCUGGGCUAGCUGAAGUUGAUUUAAUUAUGAAAUAGCAGGUUUUGAUUAUAUGAUACCUGGCUUUACCUACGGUGAUAUUUAGAGGUAUCUUCUGCAACCCUAAUGGAAAUGGUCCCAAAACAGGAUAGGGUGAAGUCAAUAGGGUCCUGUACAAAUCACUCGUAAAAUGUGCAUCUAUAUUUUAAUAUACAAUGAGGUUCUUCUGAAAGUCUGGGGGGCCUUAAGCAUGUUGCAGAUUUCUAUAGCAAGAUUAUUUUUCCUAUUAAUUCUAUCAAGGUGGUCAAAAAAUACCUAGAAAGAUGCUUAUUUUCCAUUCAAUGCUAUAAGGCGUUUCCAUCACAUUGUCUGCUUUGCUGGUUCUCUAAUAGGAUCUCCUGUCAGAGAUUUACAAGGCAGUCUCCAGACCGUACUUUUUUUUGCUUUGAAAGAGCUGCAUCGUCAUAGUAGGAGGUGUGGGCCUAGGUCAAACCCAGCCUGCUGAGUGCUGCAGUGACAUCGAUUGGUGCCCCCCUCAUCGAACCAGAGAUGUGGCCCUUUAUGUUUACCGGUCCCAGCAUGCAUUGCUUCAUUUUAAUCAGAUUGGCUUGUAUGAAAAGUAGCUUUAAAGGUUGCCUUUUCUAAAGUGGGAGAGUGGUCACAAAUAAAAAGUGACCUGAUUAGGGGUCCUGUUUAAGCAAAUGUAACCAGUCUACGUGAGCAGAAGACACCUUCUUUAAUUAGAGUUUGGCUGCAACCCAUGCUGAACAAUCACCACACCACUGUCACUCAAACCAAGUUGCUGGAAAAGCAGCCUCAUUUCAUCCAUGUGGCACUAAAUCCCAUUUCAGAGCAAGGAAGCAGAAAAUACUUUGAACUUCAUCACCUCUCAGGACCUGUAACCUCUGAAAUGGAGACUACUGUACUUUACAGGAUCACAGAGCAGGGCUGGUCAGAGAGGCCGAUGUUCAUAGUUUAGUUCAGAAAAAUGCCUUAUAGAAAAAAAAAGAGAAGGAAAAAGUGAAGAGUACUAAAUGGGAUGGUGUGUAGGACAUGGGGGCAGAGCUUUUUGCAAGAAACUGGUGGAUGCAGGCAGUGUGUCUCAUACUGUAUUUUCCUGCAUACAACAUUCCCCAGAAUAUAAUACAUUGUUUUUAAGGGCAGAAUGAAGAAUUUUUUUUUUCCAGAAUUAUGGCCACAUAGGAAAGGGACAGGGGCCUAAUCUUCAGCUGACUCACCUUCCUUUGCCAAUUUAGGCUAUUAAAUAGGUGGAGAGAGACCAGGAGCAGCUAGCAGACAGGAAAAUUGCCUUAAGAAAGUUUAGUGCAAUUAGCAGGCCAUUAAAAAGGAGAAAGCUGUAAAUACCUGUGGAGGGGAGAACAAUGACCCAUUAAGUCAACUGAUUCCCUUAGCUGCCUCAAUAGUAAUGCUACAGCUCCUGUGCUGUGGAGCAGGAAUCAAAGCAAGGCGCUUCUAUCCUGGGCAGAAAAUCAGCUUCCCCACUUAAUACACACAUACCAAUUUUGGGGGACUGAUCUUUUGGGGAAAGGUGAGUAUUGUUUGUGAAAAAAUAUGGUAUUUAGUACUCAUCUUAAUCAUCCCCAUCCCAGAGCAGAGAGGGAGAAGAAUGCCAUCAGAUCCUACCCAGGAGGGAGGCUAUAGCCCCGGGUGCUGAAAUGAAGUCUCAGAGAAUUAGAGGAAAGAGGAGAGCAGUAUUUUAUAUACAAGUGGAGCUAUUAUCUAAUAAACCACAGCUAAUUGAAUCAGCCAGUAAUCAUGACCAGACAGCUGUGCUGCUGUACCAACAAGGAAGGUAUUUUUACUAAGUAUUAUUUGACCUGUAGAAGCAUCUCAGGGUCAUAAAUCAGACCCCCUUGCACCUGAUCCUGUACGAAUACAUAGCUAAAUGCUGUGAGAGGGCAGGGAAGUUAUACUUGUUUGCCUCUGCCUCUCACCUGGUGAUCUCCACUUGCCCAUCUUUCUUUAAGAUGCCCAUUCUCCAGCCCCAUAAUGAGCAUCCAUCUGACUGGGUCAGGAGUCAUCUAUGAUGUGCCUUACGUGGCUAAAGGGGACCAUGCUGGAGCAAAGCAUGGCAUUCCUUUCCAAUUCGUGCAACAUCAUGGGAUGAAUUUCAGUAUCUUGAGUACUCACAGUUAUUGCAUGCCACACUGAUGAAUGGCAGGGUGAGCAGUCAAUGCAAGUCUAUUGAAAUUUAUGGGCUUACCCCAGCUUGCAGCCUUUCCACAUGUCACCAGUGUCAUUCACUUUGCUGCCAGUGGCUGUCCUCACGUUAUAUAUUUAAUAGGUCAUGUGAAACAAGAAGGUAGGGCAGGGAGGAGGAAGAGGCAGAAUGAAGUACCAGUGAGGUUUUUCCAUGGCAGACAUAUUGCAACAUCUCAUCAUGAAAGACAAGGUAAUGUGUUCCAGUGCUUCACCACCCCUCUAGUGAGAAAGUUUUUCCUAAUAUCCAACCUCAACUUCCUGCUGCAACGUGAGCCCAUUGCUCCUUGUCCUGUAUCUGCCCUCACUGAGAGCAGCCCAGCUCCAUCCUCUUUGCAACCCGCCUGCAGGGAGGUGAAGGCUGCUAUUCAAUCCCAACUUGGUCUUCUCUUCUGCAGGCUAAAUCAGCCCAGUUCCCUCGGCCUCUCCUCACCAGUCCUGUCCCCCAGCCCCACGACCAUUUUUGUUGCCCUCCGCUGGACUCCCUCCAACGCGUCCACAUCCUUUCUGUAGUGGGGGCCACAGCUGGACACAGGACUCCAGAUGUGGCUCCCCCCAAUGCUGAAUAGAGGGGAAGAAUCACUGCCCUCCAUCUGCUGGCAACACUCCUACCCAUGCAGCCCAGGAUACUGUUAAGUUUCAUCACAGAGAUAAUGCAGAUGCUGACAGACAAGCCCUCAGGCUGGGUGGAACCUCUUGUGGAUCACCAGUGGCAUCAUCUUCGUGGCAUCAUCCUUCAGCAGUCUCUGCGGAUAGUCCAACCUCCCCUGUGCCAGCUGCAGCCAUGCCAGAGCCUCUCUAGGCAGGUGGUUCCAAACAUUGCAAUGUCAUUUUCCCUUUAAUGAUCAGUCUGUAUUUUCUGUGCUACAGAUUCAGUUUGUUCCUCCUAGCUUUGUCACUGACUGACAACAUGAUCUUUGCCCUCUCCACAAAAAUUCCUUGACAUUAUUUGUGAAAAAGGCAGGCCAUGGGAGUAAAUUGUUCUUAAUGUUA